Molecule: long non-coding RNA, 678 nt
Filed under: Sinocyclocheilus anshuiensis
Lineage: Eukaryota; Metazoa; Chordata; Actinopteri; Cypriniformes; Cyprinidae
Description: lncRNA (ENSSANG00000049010.1)
Source: RNAcentral
AUAUAUUGCCCUCAUAUUGCCUUUGUCCUUCCCUCCUCUCUCUCUCUCUCUCUCUCUCUCUCUCUCUCUCUCUCUCUCUCUCUCUCUCUCUCUCUCUCUCUCUCUCUCUUCUCCCCCCCCCCUCUCUCUCUCUCUCUCUCUCUCUCUCUCUCUCUCUCUCUCUCUCUCUCUCUGUCUGUGAGCGUGUUUAUACACACCUAUCAGUCAGCUUGAUUUAACCCCUCUCUCUCUCACAUGUGAGAUACCAGAGUUCUGUCUGCUUUGUUCUUACAAGAUAAAUUGGAAUGCACACAAAUCACAUGAAGGACACAAACAACAACUUUAACAACUCUCUCCUCAGUGCCCAAAAGGAGAAGCUUAUUCAAGCAAUUAAAAAGAUCAAACAUGAAAUUGAUGAAUGUUAUGAGGCUGAGAAAGAGGCCUUUGUGGACGCACUGGAGGUCGAGAACAGAUUUGAAGAGAUAGAGCGUGAAAUCCGAGCAGAGUUCCAAAACCUCCAUCGUUUCCUGGAUGAGGAGGAAGAGACGGAUCUGGAACGGCUAAGGAAGGAAAGGGACAGACGAGUGAAGAUCUUAAAAGAGAGAGAGAAAAAGAUUGGCACGCAGAGUAGAGAUCUAGAGAAAGCCAUUGAGACACUGAACUGCAAACUGCGGGAAGAUGACAGCCCCAAACUUUUGA